This 83-nucleotide transfer-messenger RNA is filed under the name Candidatus Omnitrophota bacterium. Its description in RNAcentral is "partial transfer-messenger RNA". It matches the Rfam family "transfer-messenger RNA", at positions 290 to 374 of the family's 374-position model. From Rfam's summary of the family: Bacterial tmRNA, also known as 10Sa RNA or SsrA, is named for its dual tRNA and mRNA-like properties. Lineage: Bacteria; Pseudomonadati; Candidatus Omnitrophota. The record is from RNAcentral.
CGAGAUUGGAAAGUAAGCUAAACAUGUAGAUACUCUUGUUGGGAUAUUGAAGGACGCGGAUUCGAAUUCCGCCGCCUCCACCA